UGAACGCUGGCGGCGUGCCUAAUACAUGCAAGUCGAGCGAACAGAUAAGGAGCUUGCUCCUUUGACGUUAGCGGCGGACGGGUGAGUAACACGUGGGUAACCUACCUAUAAGACUGGGAUAACUUCGGGAAACCGGAGCUAAUACCGGAUAACAUUUGGAACCGCAUGGUUCUAAAGUGAAAGAUGGUUUUGCUAUCACUUAUAGAUGGACCCGCGCCGUAUUAGCUAGUUGGUAAGGUAACGGCUUACCAAGGCAACGAUACGUAGCCGACCUGAGAGGGUGAUCGGCCACACUGGAACUGAGACACGGUCCAGACUCCUACGGGAGGCAGCAGUAGGGAAUCUUCCGCAAAGGGCGAAAGCCUGACGGAGCAACGCCGCGUGAGUGAUGAAGGGUUUCGGCUCGUAAAACUCUGUUAUUAGGGAAGAACAAACGUGUAAGUAACUGUGCACGUCUUGACGGUACCUAAUCAGAAAGCCACGGCUAACUACGUG
Molecule: ribosomal RNA, 495 nt
Filed under: uncultured bacterium
Lineage: Bacteria
Description: partial 16S ribosomal RNA
Rfam family: Bacterial small subunit ribosomal RNA
Source: RNAcentral